RNAcentral lists this ribosomal RNA (710 nucleotides) under Phaeobacter sp. Its description in RNAcentral is "bacterial SSU rRNA". It matches the Rfam family "Bacterial small subunit ribosomal RNA", at positions 40 to 797 of the family's 1533-position model. Lineage: Bacteria; Pseudomonadati; Pseudomonadota; Alphaproteobacteria; Rhodobacterales; Roseobacteraceae. The record is from RNAcentral.
AGGCGCAGCUUACACAUGCAGUCGAGCGCACUCUUCGGAGUGAGCGGCGGACGGGUUAGUAACGCGUGGGAACGUGCCCUUCUCUAAGGAAUAGCCACUGGAAACGGUGAGUAAUACCUUAUACGCCCUUCGGGGGAAAGAUUUAUCGGAGAAGGAUCGGCCCGCGUUAGAUUAGAUAGUUGGUGGGGUAAUGGCCUACCAAGUCUACGAUCUAUAGCUGGUUUUAGAGGAUGAUCAGCAACACUGGGACUGAGACACGGCCCAGACUCCUACGGGAGGCAGCAGUGGGGAAUCUUGGACAAUGGGCGCAAGCCUGAUCCAGCCAUGCCGCGUGAGUGAUGAAGGCCUUAGGGUCGUAAAGCUCUUUCGCCAGAGAUGAUAAUGACAGUAUCUGGUAAAGAAACCCCGGCUAACUCCGUGCCAGCAGCCGCGGUAAUACGGAGGGGGUUAGCGUUGUUCGGAAUUACUGGGCGUAAAGCGCACGUAGGCGGAUCAGAAAGUAUAGGGUGAAAUCCCAGGGCUCAACCCUGGAACUGCCUUGUAAACUCCUGGUCUUGAGUUCGAGAGAGGUGAGUGGAAUUCCGAGUGUAGAGGUGAAAUUCGUAGAUAUUCGGAGGAACACCAGUGGCGAAGGCGGCUCACUGGCUCGAUACUGACGCUGAGGUGCGAAAGUGUGGGGAGCAAACAGGAUUAGAUACCCUGGUAGUCCA